This 825-nucleotide small RNA is filed under the name Cryptococcus neoformans H99. RNAcentral's name for it is "Cryptococcus neoformans var. grubii H99 hypothetical RNA". The record is from RNAcentral. Lineage: Eukaryota; Fungi; Basidiomycota; Tremellomycetes; Tremellales; Cryptococcaceae.
UCCGCGCUCGUGAUUCCGAAUGCCAGUCCCACCACAUCAACAGCAGACCUUGUCCGGCCCAAGCCGCCGAGCAAGCGUCCCCAGGCUGAUAAGUUGUGAUGGUAGAAACUUCCUCUGCAAGCAUUUGUUCUUGCUGUACGAAGAGUCUGCUGAAGGCCCCAUGGACUGGUUACCGUUUGUUUUCACGGCCAUUCGACUUUGCGAGGCCCCAUUUUGCGAUUUCAACCAGAUUAGAGCGCUUUCGAUCGCCAAUCGAGACGGGGUUGGGUCUCUUUCCUCGAAAUAAGUUAUAUGUUGAGGAAGAAGACCUCUUGACAACCAAACAGCGAUGACACUGCCGAUCUUGCUUUCUCCGAUCGACCGUUUCGAGGGGCACAGGCAUACCCAAAUCUUGCGUGGAACGAUCAACUGAGAUCAUUGCAAGAACAGGAACUGUCAGUCAAAUGCUGAGAAAGCUGUCUCGACAUUGAUGGAAAUAUCCGAAAUGUACAAAGAACUUUUGAUAGCGGCUGCUCAACAAGCAAAAAAGCCAGGGGCUAAAGCUCGCGGAAUAUUGGAGAAAAAAACAAGCUUGAGGGCCAGUUCUGCUUUACGAGAUAAAGUCAAACACGCCGUGCAAACAGCGAAUGAAGGUAAACAGGUCUCCCAACGUGAGCAGAGACGUGGUUCUCAACGCAUUCCAUUCUUCAAUGCUUUUCUCUCUCUAUCCCUUUUCAAGAAGCAAAAGGUUGUUGAAGAGUCACCAGACUGUGAAAGUACUACUGCGUAGAUGAUGUUUCUUUUCUAGUGUCCAUGUAUGUAUUAAUGGUAAUGAUAAAGUUUGGG